This 1541-nucleotide ribosomal RNA is filed under the name Salmonella enterica subsp. enterica serovar Derby. RNAcentral describes it as "bacterial SSU rRNA". It matches the Rfam family "Bacterial small subunit ribosomal RNA". The record is from RNAcentral. Lineage: Bacteria; Pseudomonadati; Pseudomonadota; Gammaproteobacteria; Enterobacterales; Enterobacteriaceae. RNAcentral also lists the same sequence under 1 other name.
AAAUUGAAGAGUUUGAUCAUGGCUCAGAUUGAACGCUGGCGGCAGGCCUAACACAUGCAAGUCGAACGGUAACAGGAAGCAGCUUGCUGCUUUGCUGACGAGUGGCGGACGGGUGAGUAAUGUCUGGGAAACUGCCUGAUGGAGGGGGAUAACUACUGGAAACGGUGGCUAAUACCGCAUAACGUCGCAAGACCAAAGAGGGGGACCUUCGGGCCUCUUGCCAUCAGAUGUGCCCAGAUGGGAUUAGCUUGUUGGUGAGGUAACGGCUCACCAAGGCGACGAUCCCUAGCUGGUCUGAGAGGAUGACCAGCCACACUGGAACUGAGACACGGUCCAGACUCCUACGGGAGGCAGCAGUGGGGAAUAUUGCACAAUGGGCGCAAGCCUGAUGCAGCCAUGCCGCGUGUAUGAAGAAGGCCUUCGGGUUGUAAAGUACUUUCAGCGGGGAGGAAGGUGUUGUGGUUAAUAACCGCAGCAAUUGACGUUACCCGCAGAAGAAGCACCGGCUAACUCCGUGCCAGCAGCCGCGGUAAUACGGAGGGUGCAAGCGUUAAUCGGAAUUACUGGGCGUAAAGCGCACGCAGGCGGUCUGUCAAGUCGGAUGUGAAAUCCCCGGGCUCAACCUGGGAACUGCAUUCGAAACUGGCAGGCUUGAGUCUUGUAGAGGGGGUAGAAUUCCAGGUGUAGCGGUGAAAUGCGUAGAGAUCUGGAGGAAUACCGGUGGCGAAGGCGGCCCCCUGGACAAAGACUGACGCUCAGGUGCGAAAGCGUGGGGAGCAAACAGGAUUAGAUACCCUGGUAGUCCACGCCGUAAACGAUGUCUACUUGGAGGUUGUGCCCUUGAGGCGUGGCUUCCGGAGCUAACGCGUUAAGUAGACCGCCUGGGGAGUACGGCCGCAAGGUUAAAACUCAAAUGAAUUGACGGGGGCCCGCACAAGCGGUGGAGCAUGUGGUUUAAUUCGAUGCAACGCGAAGAACCUUACCUGGUCUUGACAUCCACAGAACUUUCCAGAGAUGGACUGGUGCCUUCGGGAACUGUGAGACAGGUGCUGCAUGGCUGUCGUCAGCUCGUGUUGUGAAAUGUUGGGUUAAGUCCCGCAACGAGCGCAACCCUUAUCCUUUGUUGCCAGCGAUUAGGUCGGGAACUCAAAGGAGACUGCCAGUGAUAAACUGGAGGAAGGUGGGGAUGACGUCAAGUCAUCAUGGCCCUUACGACCAGGGCUACACACGUGCUACAAUGGCGCAUACAAAGAGAAGCGACCUCGCGAGAGCAAGCGGACCUCAUAAAGUGCGUCGUAGUCCGGAUUGGAGUCUGCAACUCGACUCCAUGAAGUCGGAAUCGCUAGUAAUCGUGGAUCAGAAUGCCACGGUGAAUACGUUCCCGGGCCUUGUACACACCGCCCGUCACACCAUGGGAGUGGGUUGCAAAAGAAGUAGGUAGCUUAACCUUCGGGAGGGCGCUUACCACUUUGUGAUUCAUGACUGGGGUGAAGUCGUAACAAGGUAACCGUAGGGGAACCUGCGGUUGGAUCACCUCCUUA